Non-coding RNA from Cyanistes caeruleus (blue tit), 234 nucleotides. The record is from RefSeq and is a predicted model, not a curated record. NCBI's taxonomy places the organism in Eukaryota, Metazoa, Chordata, Aves, Passeriformes, Paridae.
UGUUCCUGCCUGAACGUGAGUGAAUAUAAACCAAACUCACCCUCUGAUGGGUUUGGUUUAUGACCAAUAGACGGUGGAAUUGUACUAAGUCUCAUUAUAGAGCCUAGGGGUGGGAGGAGACAUGGAACAGGAAUCUGAAAGGCCUGGCAAAAGGAAAAGAUGAGGACCUUCUGGAAUGAGUGCAGAGGAGGCUGUGAAGAUGCUGUGAGUGCUGUUGAAACAGGCUGUGAAGAU